GUUUGAUCCUGGCUCAGGAUUAACGCUAGCGGCAGGCCUAAUACAUGCAAGUCGAACGGGAUUUCGGGUAGCAAUAUCUGGAUGAGAGUGGCGCACGGGUGCGUAACGCGUAUGCAAUCUACCGCUGACUGGGGGAUAGCCCUCCGAAAAGGAGGAUUAACACCGCAUAACACUAUGAAGGGGCAUCUCUUUGUAGUCAAAACUCCGGUGGUCAGCGAUGAGCAUGCGUCCGAUUAGCUAGUUGGCGAGGUAACGGCUCACCAAGGCAACGAUCGGUAGGGGGUCUGAGAGGAUGAUCCCCCACACUGGUACUGAGACACGGACCAGACUCCUACGGGAGGCAGCAGUAAGGAAUAUUGGACAAUGGGCGACAAGCCUGAUCCAGCCAUGCCGCGUGAAGGAU
This 403-nucleotide ribosomal RNA is filed under the name uncultured bacterium. Its description in RNAcentral is "bacterial SSU rRNA". It matches the Rfam family "Bacterial small subunit ribosomal RNA", at positions 11 to 409 of the family's 1533-position model. The record is from RNAcentral.